ACGUAUUCCGUCAAGCGCUGUAAUUUACUGGAAUCCAGUUUCUGCUCUGUUGCAACAGCCUGCUUCUUCACGGUUAGCAUUUGAGAGGAGGGAUCCAAGGUCCAACCACGUUGUAGCGUAUCUGCAAGUAACCGAGAAGUGUUAGCACAAGUUAGUAGUAGCAUUCAUUUCCAUUCCACCAAUUUACCGUACAAGGGACGAGUUGCAUUCAAGCUGAUUAAAGUGCCAUUUUUCAACAGUUCCAAGUUUGGUAAGAGUUAAGGACAAUGAAAGAUCCUAUAGAAACAUUAAAAUUACUUUAAAGAUAGGGAAAUGAUAAUUAUAUACAUGGUGAGGAGUGUCAACAAUGACAUUAAAAUUCUCUCGUCAUCGGUCAGUGUCAUAAAAAUUACUUAAUCUAUUUCUUCAUCUUAACCACCCCACCAAUCCCAAAACUAGAUUAAGAGGUAGGCUUUACAUAAUUUAUCCACCCAAAAUUCUACCUGCACGGUCACUGAUUUUCAAAUUAUUUCAACCUCAAUACAAAGACAUUCCACUUGCAGAUUAAGCCAUUGUUUGAGCCUCAUUUUUUCAUCAAAAUACAUUUUUCAACAAUGAUUUGAUUUCAUUUUGACCACACAUUUUUAAUAAAAUAAUGUUACACGUAAUGUCAAAAAAAAAUUUUAUUUUUUAAAUACACAUUCUUCAUCAUAACACUAUUUCAAAAUGCAUUUGUUUGAGAAAAAUGGGGCUCAAACAACCCCUAAACAAGCAUUAACCUUUAAAUUUGCACAAAUGUUAUAAGCCAUGUGAAAAAGGAUGAGAGGUUACAGUUUGCAGCAUCAUCAGCAUUCAGUCCGAGGAAAAGAGCUGUAUCUUGUGUGCUUAUUGUAGAAUAAGCAGAAACCAGCAGCUCAAACAUCUUUUUUGUGUAAAGUUCUGCAGAAAACUCGAAUUACAAAAUAAAAUCAAAAUCAGAUGCCCAGGAUCGCUAGUCAAACAGCACAAAAAAUAAUAUGGGCACUCCUUUGGCAUUCAAAUAAUCAAUAUUUUUGGGUGCUGGAGGAAUCAACACACAUAGUAACACGCAAUAUUGUGUACUCGUGUAACUCGUCUACAGGAAAAUUCUCAAAAUUCAUUUUCAGUUAAUUUACUAGAAGAAUCUAUUACCGAAGAAACGUGUUCAUUUCUUAUCCAUUUGCAGAAUCUGUAUAACCCUUUUAUUUUUCAUAAAGGUUUGAGAAUAAAUAUCCCUGCAUGCAUAGGUAUAGUUCAGAGAGUUUCUUGAAACUCUUAUUUGUCAUUUUUAUAUUAUUACAUCCCAUCUUGCAAAUUUUGGGCUUGUCACAAAUUUGGACACCUGUUUUCUAACAAAAUAUUAUUUUCCUUUACUUCGACUAGUGGGAUUCAUGUCACGUAUGCUGUUGGACAACACUUUUAACGAUUCUAAUUUCACUUUCUUCCUUAAAGGCUACUCUAAUAAAAAAAAAAUAUGUACUGGGAUAUUUCUUCGUAAUGUCCUAAACAACUAUUCUAUUUUAUGUACAGUUACAGUUCUUGGUAAUAAUGUGUUUGUAACAACCAGUCCAGUCGUUUUCUAUUUAUUUGGACCAUUCCACUUUUGUUCGUCUGUUGGGUCACAAUUGCAUCAUAUUCUUUCCGAGUCCCUAGAAAGAAGGGUCACAUCUUCACAUUAGCAAUCCUGCAGGUAUAAAAUUAGAACGCAGCUUCUGUUAUUGACAAUAUGGUUAUCGUCGUCACUGCAGAAACUGGUCAUUCCAACACAUUCAGCCAACCGAUUAACUGAAUGAAAAUACAUUUGAAGCAAAAGCGAAAUGAACUAAUCGCAUUUGAGUCUACACUUCCAGCAAUUGAAUGCCUUGCCGGCGUAUCUGAGCAAGUGCACAUUGGCUUGAUUAACUAUAACAGUGAACGCUGAUGAAACAACUCAAGGUUUUGGAACAAAAACUAGAUAUCAUUUUACAUUUAUAACGUAUUCGAGCAGGUGCUCAUUGGCUUGAUUAACGAUAACAGUGAAGACUGAUGAAACAACUCAAGGUUUUGGAACAAAAACUAGAUAUCAUUUUACAUCGUCCAGAGCUGAUCGGAACUGAUAUAUAUAACUGAGUGUAAAGGAUUAAUGCUCAAGAUUGAAAACGUAUUCCGUCAAGCGCUGUAAUUUACUGGAAUCCAGUUUCUGCUCUGUUGCAACAGCCUGCUUCUUCACGGUUAGCAUUUGAGAGGAGGGAUCCAAGGUCCAACCACGUUGUAGCGUAUCUGCAAGUAACCGAGAAGUGUUAGCACAAGUUAGUAGUAGCAUUCAUUUCCAUUCCACCAAUUUACCGUACAAGGGACGAGUUGCAUUCAAGCUGAUUAAAGUGCCAUUUUUCAACAGUUCCAAGUUUGGUAAGAGUUAAGGACAAUGAAAGAUCCUAUAGAAACAUUAAAAUUACUUUAAAGAUAGGGAAAUGAUAAUUAUAUACAUGGUGAGGAGUGUCAACAAUGACAUUAAAAUUCUCUCGUCAUCGGUCAGUGUCAUAAAAAUUACUUAAUCUAUUUCUUCAUCUUAACCACCCCACCAAUCCCAAAACUAGAUUAAGAGGUAGGCUUUACAUAAUUUAUCCACCCAAAAUUCUACCUGCACGGUCACUGAUUUUCAAAUUAUUUCAACCUCAAUACAAAGACAUUCCACUUGCAGAUUAAGCCAUUGUUUGAGCCUCAUUUUUUCAUCAAAAUACAUUUUCCAACAGUGAUUUGACAUCAUUUCAACCACACAUUUUUCAAUAAAAAUAAUAUUAUAUGCAUACCCAAAAUUUUUCCUUAUUUUUUAACCACACAUUCUUCAUCAUAACACUAUUUCAAAAUGCAUUUGUUUGAGAAAA
Molecule: long non-coding RNA, 2861 nt
Filed under: Olea europaea (common olive)
Lineage: Eukaryota; Viridiplantae; Streptophyta; Magnoliopsida; Lamiales; Oleaceae
Description: long non-coding RNA (OEUR_LNC013957)
Source: RNAcentral